RNAcentral lists this ribosomal RNA (1531 nucleotides) under Lactiplantibacillus pentosus. Its description in RNAcentral is "Lactobacillus pentosus partial 16S ribosomal RNA". It matches the Rfam family "Bacterial small subunit ribosomal RNA". The record is from RNAcentral. Lineage: Bacteria; Bacillati; Bacillota; Bacilli; Lactobacillales; Lactobacillaceae.
AGAGUUUGAUCAUGGCUCAGGACGAACGCUGGCGGCGUGCCUAAUACAUGCAAGUCGAACGAACUCUGGUAUUGAUUGGUGCUCGCAUCAUGAUUUACAUUUGAGUGAGUGGCGAACUGGUGAGUAACACGUGGGAAACCUGCCCAGAAGCGGGGGAUAACACCUGGAAACAGAUGCUAAUACCGCAUAACAACUUGGACCGCAUGGUCCGAGUUUGAAAGAUGGCUUCGGCUAUCACUUUUGGAUGGUCCCGCGGCGUAUUAGCUAGAUGGUGGGGUAACGGCUCACCAUGGCAAUGAUACGUAGCCGACCUGAGAGGGUAAUCGGCCACAUUGGGACUGAGACACGGCCCAAACUCCUACGGGAGGCAGCAGUAGGGAAUCUUCCACAAUGGACGAAAGUCUGAUGGAGCAACGCCGCGUGAGUGAAGAAGGGUUUCGGCUCGUAAAACUCUGUUGUUAAAGAAGAACAUAUCUGAGAGUAACUGUUCAGGUAUUGACGGUAUUUAACCAGAAAGCCACGGCUAACUACGUGCCAGCAGCCGCGGUAAUACGUAGGUGGCAAGCGUUGUCCGGAUUUAUUGGGCGUAAAGCGAGCGCAGGCGGUUUUUUAAGUCUGAUGUGAAAGCAGCGUUCGGCUCAACCGAAGAAGUGCAUCGGAAACUGGGAAACUUGAGUGCAGAAGAGGACAGUGGAACUCCAUGUGUAGCGGUGAAAUGCGUAGAUAUAUGGAAGAACACCAGUGGCGAAGGCGGCUGUCUGGUCUGUAACUGACGCUGAGGCUCGAAAGUAUGGGUAGCAAACAGGAUUAGAUACCCUGGUAGUCCAUACCGUAAACGAUGAAUGCUAAGUGUUGGAGGGUUUCCGCCCUUCAGUGCUGCAGCUAACGCAUUAAGCAUUCCGCCUGGGGAGUACGGCCGCAAGGCUGAAACUCAAAGGAAUUGACGGGGGCCCGCACAAGCGGUGGAGCAUGUGGUUUAAUUCGAAGCUACGCGAAGAACCUUACCAGGUCUUGACAUACUAUGCAAAUCUAAGAGAUUAGACGUUCCCUUCGGGGACAUGGAUACAGGUGGUGCAUGGUUGUCGUCAGCUCGUGUCGUGAGAUGUUGGGUUAAGUCCCGCAACGAGCGCAACCCUUAUUAUCAGUUGCCAGCAUUAAGUUGGGCACUCUGGUGAGACUGCCGGUGACAAACCGGAGGAAGGUGGGGAUGACGUCAAAUCAUCAUGCCCCUUAUGACCUGGGCUACACACGUGCUACAAUGGAUGGUACAACGAGUUGCGAACUCGCGAGAGUAAGCUAAUCUCUUAAAGCCAUUCUCAGUUCGGAUUGUAGGCUGCAACUCGCCUACAUGAAGUCGGAAUCGCUAGUAAUCGCGGAUCAGCAUGCCGCGGUGAAUACGUUCCCGGGCCUUGUACACACCGCCCGUCACACCAUGAGAGUUUGUAACACCCAAAGUCGGUGGGGUAACCUUUUAGGAACCAGCCGCCUAAGGUGGGAUAGAUGAUUAGGGUGAAGUCGUAACAAGGUAUCC